UAGCAUCGAGAUAAUCACUGACGAUUGAAUAAAAAUCCAAGUGAUCUCUCGUAUGGUCACGCUCAGUACCAGUUGUUCUCUAACAACCAUCCACACUUGUCAUCCUAUGUCUCUACAUAGUAGAUUAGAAAUCCAUCUAUCCUAAAGAAAGCAAUUUGUAUGCCAGUCUAUCUAAAUCUAUCAUCACCCUCAUGAUGAUCC
Molecule: long non-coding RNA, 201 nt
Filed under: Elaeis guineensis (African oil palm)
Lineage: Eukaryota; Viridiplantae; Streptophyta; Magnoliopsida; Arecales; Arecaceae
Description: long non-coding RNA (EGUI_LNC075040)
Source: RNAcentral